GUGCUUGCUUUGGCAGCACAUAUACUAAAAUUGGAACGAUGCAAAGAAGAUUAGCAUAACCCCUCUGCAAGGAUGAAAUGCAAAUUCAUGAAGUGUUCCAUAAAGGG
This 107-nucleotide small nuclear RNA is filed under the name Microcebus murinus (gray mouse lemur). The record is from RNAcentral. Lineage: Eukaryota; Metazoa; Chordata; Mammalia; Primates; Cheirogaleidae.